AGUGAACGCUGGCGGCAGGCUUAACACAUGCAAGUCGAACGGCAGCGCAGUAAGCGCUUGCUCUUCCGGGUGGCGAGUGGCGGGCGGUUCAGGGAAACAUCCGCAUCUACGUUUUCGAGGGGGGUGAAGUAGGGAUAAUUACGCCAAUACAGCUUACGAUCUACGGGUGGGAGCAGGGGAUCUUCGGACCUUGCGGGAUUGGAUGUGCCGAUGGCGGUUUAGCUAGUUGGGGGGGUAACGGCCCACCCAGGCGAAGAUCCGUAGCUGGUCUGAGAGGAUGAUCAGCCACACUGGAACUGAGACACGGUCCAGACUCCUACGGGAGGCAGCAGUGGGGAAUAUUGGACAAUGGGGGCAAGCCUGAUCCAGCCAUACCGCGUGCGGGAAGAAGGCCUUCGGGUUGUAAAGCCCUUUUGUUGGGAAAGAAAAGCUGCGGGUUAAUACCCCGCUGGUCUGACGGUACCGGAAGAAUAAGCACCGGCUAACUUCGUG
Molecule: ribosomal RNA, 492 nt
Filed under: uncultured bacterium
Lineage: Bacteria
Description: partial 16S ribosomal RNA
Rfam family: Bacterial small subunit ribosomal RNA
Source: RNAcentral